ACUUAGGUAGCUUAAAUUUAAAGCUUAAUAUUGAAGCUAUUAGGAUAAGAUAUCUUUCUAAGUA
This 64-nucleotide transfer RNA is filed under the name Cloresmus pulchellus. RNAcentral's name for it is "tRNA-Phe". Lineage: Eukaryota; Metazoa; Arthropoda; Insecta; Hemiptera; Coreidae. The record is from RNAcentral.